This 468-nucleotide ribosomal RNA is filed under the name uncultured bacterium. RNAcentral's name for it is "partial 16S ribosomal RNA". It matches the Rfam family "Bacterial small subunit ribosomal RNA", at positions 28 to 507 of the family's 1533-position model. The record is from RNAcentral.
GACGAACGCUGGCGGCGUGCUUAACACAUGCAAGUCGAACGGAAAGGCCCUGCUUUUGUGGGGUGCUCGAGUGGCGAACGGGUGAGUAACACGUGAGUAACCUGCCCUUGACUUUGGGAUAACUUCAGGAAACUGGGGCUAAUACCGGAUAGGAGCUCCUGCUGCAUGGUGGGGGUUGGAAAGUUUCGGCGGUUGGGGAUGGACUCGCGGCUUAUCAGCUUGUUGGUGGGGUAGUGGCUUACCAAGGCUUUGACGGGUAGCCGGCCUGAGAGGGUGACCGGCCACAUUGGGACUGAGAUACGGCCCGGACUCCUACGGGAGGCAGCAGUGGGGAAUGUUGCACAAUGGGCGGAAGCCUGAUGCAGCAACGCCGCGUGCGGGAUGACGGCCUUCGGGUUGUAAACCGCUUUCGCCUGUGACGAAGCGUGAGUGACGGUAAUGGGUGAAGAAGCACCGGCUAACUACGUG